GCAAGUCGUACGAGAAUCUUCGGAUUCUAGUGGCGGACGGGUGAGUAACACGUAGGUAAUCUACCUUAGGGAGGGGGAUAAUCGGAGAGAUUCGAGGUAAUCCCGCAUAUGGUCUUCGGACUGAAAGCUCCGGCGCCCUAAGAUGAGCCUGCGGUGCAUUAGCUUGUUGGUGGGGUAAUGGCCUACCAAGGCGACGAUGCAUAGCUGGUCUGAGAGGAUGAUC
This 223-nucleotide ribosomal RNA is filed under the name uncultured bacterium. RNAcentral describes it as "partial 16S ribosomal RNA". It matches the Rfam family "Bacterial small subunit ribosomal RNA", at positions 57 to 305 of the family's 1533-position model. The record is from RNAcentral.